UGGGGAAUCUUGCACAAUGGGCGAAAGCCUGAUGCAGCCAUGCCGCGUGAAUGAUGAAGGCCCUAGGGUUGUAAAAUUCUUUCGCCAAGGAUGAUAAUGACGGUACUUGGUAAAGAAGCCCCGGCUAACUUCGUGCCAGCAGCCGCGGUAAUACGAAGGGGGCUAGCGUUGUUCGGAAUUACUGGGCGUAAAGCGCACGUAGGCGGACUAUUAAGUCAGGGGUGAAAUCCCGGGGCUCAACCCCGGAACUGCCCUUGAUACUGGUAGUCUUGAGUUCGAGAGAGGUGAGUGGAAUUCCGAGUGUAGAGGUGAAAUUCGUAGAUAUUCGGAGGAACACCAGUGGCGAAGGCGGCUCACUGGCUCGAUACUGACGCUGAGGUGCGAAAGCGUGGGGAGCAAACAGGAUUAGAUACCCCCGUAGUCC
Molecule: ribosomal RNA, 424 nt
Filed under: uncultured prokaryote
Description: bacterial SSU rRNA
Rfam family: Bacterial small subunit ribosomal RNA
Source: RNAcentral